GACGAACGCUGGCGGCGUGCGUAACACAUGCAAGUCGAACGAGAGAGUGAGAGAAGCUUGCUUUUCUUACGAUCGAGUGGCAAACGGGUGAGUAACGCGUAAACAACCUGCCCCGCAGAUGGGGACAACAGCUGGAAACGGCUGCUAAUACCGAAUACGGUCCUCUUAGCGCAUGGUAAGAGGAAGAAAGGGUGGCCUCUGGAACAAGCUACCGCUGCGGGAGGGGUUUGCGUCUGAUUAGCUGGUUGGAGGGGUAACGGCCCACCAAGGCGACGAUCAGUAGCCGGUCUGAGAGGAUGAACGGCCACAUUGGAACUGAGACACGGUCCAGACUCCUACGGGAGGCAGCAGUGGGGAAUCUUCCGCAAUGGGCGAAAGCCUGACGGAGCAACGCCGCGUGAGUGAAGACGGCCUUCGGGUUGUAAAGCUCUGUUAUAGGGGGACGAAACGGGCCCGGGUAGCGAAAGAAGGUAGCCCGGCCAUG
This 484-nucleotide ribosomal RNA is filed under the name Megasphaera geminata. Its description in RNAcentral is "bacterial SSU rRNA". It matches the Rfam family "Bacterial small subunit ribosomal RNA", at positions 28 to 487 of the family's 1533-position model. Lineage: Bacteria; Bacillati; Bacillota; Negativicutes; Veillonellales; Veillonellaceae. The record is from RNAcentral.